AUCCAGCCUACGAGUCCCAAAUAGAACGAAAUGCGCAUCCUGGAU
RNAcentral lists this non-coding RNA (45 nucleotides) under Schistosoma curassoni. The record is from RNAcentral. Lineage: Eukaryota; Metazoa; Platyhelminthes; Trematoda; Strigeidida; Schistosomatidae.